RNAcentral lists this ribosomal RNA (502 nucleotides) under uncultured bacterium. RNAcentral describes it as "partial 16S ribosomal RNA". It matches the Rfam family "Bacterial small subunit ribosomal RNA", at positions 30 to 523 of the family's 1533-position model. The record is from RNAcentral.
AUUGAACGCUGGCGGCAGGCUUAACACAUGCAAGUCGAGCGGAGAUGAGGUGCUUGCACCUUAUCUUAGCGGCGGACGGGUGAGUAAUGCUUAGGAAUCUGCCUAUUAGUGGGGGACAACAUUCCGAAAGGAAUGCUAAUACCGCAUACGCCCUGCGGGGGAAAGCAGGGGAUCUUCGGACCUUGCGCUAAUAGAUGAGCCUAAGUCGGAUUAGCUAGUUGGUGGGGUAAAGGCCUACCAAGGCGACGAUCUGUAGCGGGUCUGAGAGGAUGAUCCGCCACACUGGGACUGAGACACGGCCCAGACUCCUACGGGAGGCAGCAGUGGGGAAUAUUGGACAAUGGGCGGAAGCCUGAUCCAGCCAUGCCGCGUGUGUGAAGAAGGCCUUUUGGUUGUAAAGCACUUUAAGCGAGGAGGAGGCUACCUGGAUUAAUACUCUAGGAUAGUGGACGUUACUCGCAGAAUAAGUACCGGCUAACUCUGUGCCAGCCGCCGCCGGUAA